AGUAAUAUGGAUCCCAGUACCUGAGGGGAAAAAAUGCUUAAAGUUUCUCUCAAUUUCAGUUUGUCUAUUGUUGGAAGUUGGGAGACUCACAGGAAAGCAAGUAUGAUACCCAUGGAUACUUGAAUGAUUGAAUAAAAAUUCAGAAAAUUCACAAAAAGUUUUCUACAUUCACUUUGGCAACCCAAACAUGCAUCUGCAUAUUCUCAAUAAACCAAAAGUAAUAUUUUUACAAUCUCCAAAUAAAUGCUUACAAACUACAUAUCUCUAGAAAGCACAGGAAUACCUAACCAAAUAAUGUGCAAUGAAAUCCUAGAAUCGUCAUAAUAGUAUGUGUGACUGGUUCAAACACUGAAAGCAUGCACGCUGAUACUUGCAACAAAGUACGUAUCUCUACAUAUGUGAUACAUGCAGCACUAAUUAACAUCCAUUUAUGAUAUCUAAUAAUACCAUAAUCUGAAAAAACUACUCAGAAUUAUGUCAGUCCAGAGAAUAUACCAAAAUAGAUCAGUA
Molecule: unclassified non-coding RNA, 510 nt
Filed under: Hevea brasiliensis (rubber tree)
Lineage: Eukaryota; Viridiplantae; Streptophyta; Magnoliopsida; Malpighiales; Euphorbiaceae
Source: RNAcentral